CAGACAGCAAGGAAGCCGACAGAACCGUAAGUGAAGACCUGGAAACUGAAAUUCGCAUUCAGGAGGAAAAUGCCAUUCCCUGCAGCAGGACAUCAUAAACCUUGAAGUAGAGCCUAAUCCAACGAGCUCCUAGUGGUGCUGGGAAAUGAAAUGUGUAUGCCACCUGUUCACCAUUGGUGCAGUGCACGCCCCAGGGUGUGCCAAGCAGACACACUGAAACAGGAGCUCAGUGGCCAAGGGGGAGAAGCAACGCCCACUGCCCAGCCUCAAAGCCACAGAGAGACCGGGCAGGACUCGGGCCUGCAGGGAGCCACCAGUGCCAUCACGCGGCCCUGUGAGCUGUGAUUCUGGAGGCGAAGGUCCAAGCCACCCACUCCCUUUCAGGCUCCUGGGUGGGUCGCCGACGUGGGAGCUGCAGCCGCUCUGCACUUGAAAGCGCUGCUCCACACCUGUCUGCAGAACCAGCUGCGACACAGCGAUCAAAACCUCCCAGGAGGAGACAUGAUUAUGAGCAUUUUCAUCUCUGAAACCCUGACUUCUAAUCCGCCAGUCAAGUCUGUCCCCAGUGAGUGAUCUCCGAGGUUCCAGAAGGCUGAAGCUCGCUCUGCCACAGCUGUACGCUUGUUUCUCACAGAGGCUCGUACGUACAAACACACCCGCGCCAAGAUUCCAUUGCUCCUCAGAUGUUGUGCUCCUCCCAGAGUCCAUUUCAUAUUUGGCAGCUGCUAAUAGAAGAGGAGUUCAAAUGCACUCACAAUAAAAGAGCGAUCAGACAGGAAGAUGGAAGUCCCGCUGAUCCCCGUGAUCUGCCUGCUCUCUGAUGGACACAUGAAUGAAAUAGCCUGCUGUACCGCACAAAUGUGGGUAAACACCAGGUAUUUACCAAGGACACAGCCAGUUUUGCAAAGGUAGAUUUGAGUUACAGAAAUUAAUAUUUUAAAUUUAAUUUACGUUCACACAUCUGUGAACCAGUAGAUCCUCGAAGAGUGCGUAGAUUUUUAAAUUUAAUAUUUUUUUUGUUAUUGUUUUCGUUCUUACUCCUACUCUCUUCUUUUCUUGUCAUUUCUUUCCUUCCCCCCCUUGCCUUCCCUGACCCCCUUCUGGUUUGAAUAUUUCCUUCCUACUUGUUCAUAGGUUUGUGUAUUGUUUACACCUUGUGACUAUUUGAUAUUUCUCCUCUGACAAUUUGCACAUGUGCAUUUAUUUGAGGCUUUGUUUUCAGUUUUUUCGUGUAUAUAUGAAGCAUAGGAUUCCUGCACUGUAGGGAAAUUUUCUAUCUCAUUCCCUGAAGAACAGCUGCCUUUUUCCAUUGAAAACAAACCUUUUUACCUUGCAACCAGCAAGAAUGAGAUACAAAGAUCCCAAUCCUCCAUGUUUCACCAACACUGUAAGACUUCAGAGUAUUACUGGUUUUCAGUGUCGCCAUCCCAGUAAAAAUGAAAUGGCAUCUCUCUUGUUUUGAUUGUAUUUCCAUAAUAAGUGGCGAUACUAACCACCUUUGUUGGCUAUUUGUGUAUUUUCUGUAGAGAUACAGUUUAGUAUUUUUAAAGGCAGCUGAAGAUGGCCGAAACCAAUUUUGUGUUAAUCUGGCUUAUUUUGUAUGAUAAGCACAAUUCCAAAUGUCUAUACUGUGACACCAAAAUGUUUUAAUGAAUUAAAACUGUUAUAGUAACCUGGGACAAGAAUAUUGUGUUGGUUAAGCUGAAUUGUGUGUAGAAAUAGGGAAAAAUAGAGCAAUUAAUCAGCCAACAUUUUAUAGCACAUAGUUUGGGUCCGGAUUAUUAUUGCAAGGUGUAUCACACAA
Cavia porcellus (domestic guinea pig) is the source of this 1804-nucleotide long non-coding RNA. RefSeq lists it as uncharacterized. The record is from RefSeq and is a predicted model, not a curated record. Lineage: Eukaryota; Metazoa; Chordata; Mammalia; Rodentia; Caviidae. The transcript is spliced from 3 exons.